RNAcentral lists this unclassified non-coding RNA (340 nucleotides) under soil metagenome. RNAcentral describes it as "partial contains 5.8S ribosomal RNA, internal transcribed spacer 2, and large subunit ribosomal RNA". The stretch from base 1 to 120 matches the Rfam family "5.8S ribosomal RNA", at positions 35 to 154 of the family's 154-position model. The record is from RNAcentral.
GAUGAAGAACGCAGCGAAAUGCGAUACGUAGUGUGAAUUGCAGAAUUCAGUGAAUCAUCGAAUCUUUGAACGCACAUUGCACCUCUCGGUAUUCCGGGAGGUAUGCCUGUUCGAGCGUCAUUUGUACCCUCAAGCUCUGCUUGGUGUUGGGUGUUUGUUCCGCCUCUGUGUGUGAACUCGCCUCAAAACAAUUGGCAGCCGGCCUACUGGUUUCGGAGCGCAGCACAAGUCGCACUCUCUAUCAGCAAAGGUCUAGCAUCCAUUAAGCCUUUUUUUCAACUUUUGACCUCGGAUCAGGUAGGGAUACCCGCUGAACUUAAGCAUAUCAAUAAGCGGAGGA